GCGGGCGUGGCGGAACGGUAGACGCUCCCUGCCUUGGAAGUGGGGGACCUUGGCCGGUCAUGUGAGUUCGAGUCUCGUCGCCCGCA
RNAcentral lists this transfer RNA (86 nucleotides) under Gemmatimonadota bacterium. RNAcentral's name for it is "Gemmatimonadetes bacterium (soil metagenome) tRNA-Pro". It matches the Rfam family "tRNA". Rfam says of the family: Transfer RNA (tRNA) molecules are approximately 80 nucleotides in length. Lineage: Bacteria; Pseudomonadati; Gemmatimonadota. The record is from RNAcentral.